ACAGUGAUGGUUCAAAGACAGAAUUCUUGACUUCUAGGCAGGAGACCCAGGUUUGAUUCCUGGUCAAUGCA
RNAcentral lists this transfer RNA (71 nucleotides) under Loxodonta africana (African savanna elephant). It matches the Rfam family "tRNA". From Rfam's summary of the family: Transfer RNA (tRNA) molecules are approximately 80 nucleotides in length. Their secondary structure includes four short double-helical elements and three loops (D, anti-codon, and T loops). The record is from Rfam by way of RNAcentral. Lineage: Eukaryota; Metazoa; Chordata; Mammalia; Proboscidea; Elephantidae.